UACGGAGGGUGCAAGCGUUAUCCGGAUUCACUGGGUUUAAAGGGUGCGUAGGCGGGUAUAUAAGUCAGUGGUGAAAGCUCCGAGCUUAACUUGGAAACUGCCAUUGAUACUGUAUAUCUUGAAUGUCGUAGAGGUUAGCGGAAUGUUGCAUGUAGCGGUGAAAUGCUUAGAUAUGUUACAGAACACCAAUUGCGAAGGCAGCUAACUAUGCGAUAAUUGACGCUGAGGCACGAAAGCGUGGGGAGCAAACAGG
RNAcentral lists this ribosomal RNA (253 nucleotides) under uncultured bacterium. RNAcentral's name for it is "partial 16S ribosomal RNA". It matches the Rfam family "Bacterial small subunit ribosomal RNA", at positions 524 to 776 of the family's 1533-position model. The record is from RNAcentral. RNAcentral also lists the same sequence under 1 other name.